This 440-nucleotide ribosomal RNA is filed under the name uncultured bacterium. RNAcentral describes it as "partial 16S ribosomal RNA". It matches the Rfam family "Bacterial small subunit ribosomal RNA", at positions 338 to 795 of the family's 1533-position model. The record is from RNAcentral.
CCUACGGGUGGCAGCAGUGGGGAAUAUUGCACAAUGGGGGAAACCCUGAUGCAGCGACGCCGCGUGAGUGAAGAAGGAAUUCGUUAUGUAAAGCUCUAUUAGCAGGGAAGAAAAUAACGGUACAUGUGUUAGAUGACCCGGCUAACUACGUGCCAGCAGCCGCGGUAAUACGUAGGGGGCAAGCGUUAUCCGGAUUUACUGGGUGUAAAGGGAGCGUAGACGGGAGUGCAAGUCUGGUGUGAAAGGCCGGGGCUCAACCCCCGGACUGCACUUGAAACUGUGUGGCUGGAGUGCAGGAGAGGUAAGCGGAAUUCCUAGUGUAGCGGUGAAAUGCGUAGAUAUAAGGAGGAACACCAGUGGCGAAGGCGGCUUACUGGACUGUAACUGACGUUGAGGCUCGAAAGCGUGGGGAGCAAACAGGAUUAGAUACCCUAGUAGUC